CUGACGCUGAGGCGCGAAAGCGUGGGGAGCGAACAGGAUUAGAUACCCUGGUAGUCCACGCCGUAAACGAUGAGUGCUAAGUGUUAGAGGGUUUCCGCCCUUUAGUGCUGCAGCAAACGCAUUAAGCACUCCGCCUGGGGAGUACGGCCGCAAGGCUGAAACUCAAAGGAAUUGACGGGGGCCCGCACAAGCGGUGGAGCAUGUGGUUUAAUUCGAAGCAACGCGAAGAACCUUACCAGGUCUUGACAUCCUCUGACAACCCUAGAGAUAGGGCGUUCCCCUUCGGGGGACAGAGUGACAGGUGGUGCAUGGUUGUCGUCAGCUCGUGUCGUGAGAUGUUGGGUUAAGUCCCGCAACGAGCGCAACCCUUGAUCUUAGUUGCCAGCAUUAAGUUGGGCACUCUAAGGUGACUGCCGGUGACAAACCGGAGGAAGGUGGGGAUGACGUCAAAUCAUCAUGCCCCUUAUGACCUGGGCUACACACGUGCUACAAUGGAUGGAACAAAGGGCAGCGAAGCCGUGAGGUGAAGCCAAUCCCAUAAAACCAUUCUCAGUUCGGAUUGCAGGCUGCAACCCGCCUGCAUGAAGCCGGAAUCGCUAGUAAUCGCGGGUCAGCAUACCGCGGUGAAUGUGUCCCUGAGCCUUGUACACACCGCCCGUCAAGCCACGAAAGUGGGGGGCGCCCAACAGCACUGUCGUAACCGCAAGGAACAAGGUGCCUAAGGCGAA
RNAcentral lists this ribosomal RNA (728 nucleotides) under unidentified soil bacteria. RNAcentral's name for it is "bacterial SSU rRNA". It matches the Rfam family "Bacterial small subunit ribosomal RNA", at positions 740 to 1466 of the family's 1533-position model. The record is from RNAcentral.